Molecule: ribosomal RNA, 385 nt
Filed under: uncultured bacterium
Lineage: Bacteria
Description: bacterial SSU rRNA
Rfam family: Bacterial small subunit ribosomal RNA
Source: RNAcentral
AUUGAACGCUGGCGGCAUGCCUUACACAUGCAAGUCGCACGGCAGCACGGGGCAACCUGGUGGCGAGUGGCGAACGGGUGAGUAAUGCAUCGGAACGUGCCAUUGAGUGGGGGAUAACGUAGCGAAAGUUGCGCUAAUACCGCAUAUUCUGUGAGCAGGAAAGCAGGGGACCGCAAGGCCUUGCGCUCUUUGAGCGGCCGAUGUCAGAUUAGCUAGUUGGUGAGGUAACGGCUUACCAAGGCGACGAUCUGUAGCGGGUCUGAGAGGAUGAUCCGCCACACUGGAACUGAGACACGGUCCAGACUCCUACGGGAGGCAGCAGUGGGGAAUUUGGACAAUGGGCGCAAGCCUGAUCCAGCCAUGCCGCGUGAGUGAAGAAGGCCUU